AACAAUACCUCUUUGCCUUCAGUUUGCCUCAAUUGGCUUAAUCUUAUCCAGAAGUUAAAACACUGGCCUCUACAAAUGAAGAUAAAGCAGGAAUCAUUUGUGGGAGCCAGUCUCUGAAUAGCAUUGUUCCAAAAAGGAGAACAUGACUGACUGAAUCCCCUGUGCAUGGGAGGGCAGGUGAUGCUCAGUUCUGCCCCAGCUCCCCGUGUUUUCUCAGUGGAGUAAUGCAGGCUAACUCUCCACGCUCUCAACAGCUCCAUUUUCAAAGAGCUUAGUUACAGGAAGCAAGGCAGGGAUUUUUGCUUCUGCAUGGGAUCAGACUCACAGGAAGGGAAUAGGUACCAACAAUAUACAAACCUGGAAGUUUUGCCAUUGCCGGGACCUUUGUUUUCUUCGUUCUGAAGGGGAGGAACAACUACACAAGAGAUCUUCACUUGCAUUUAGCAGGCUGAAAUGUGGGACUUACAUUAUGGAAACACCACCAUGAGGGAAUAAAUAGGCAGAAACUGCCUGAACAAAACAGAAAGAAACAAAACCAAAAAUGCUAAUUUGCAGAUUAACUGAGAGUAAUA
Molecule: long non-coding RNA, 572 nt
Organism: Pseudopipra pipra
Lineage: Eukaryota; Metazoa; Chordata; Aves; Passeriformes; Pipridae
Exons: 4
Source: RefSeq, a predicted model, not a curated record